GCAAGUCGAGCGAGGACUUCGGUUCUAGCGGCGGACGGGUGAGUWACGCGUGGGAAUGUGCCCUUCUCUACGGAAUAGCCCUGGGAAACUGGGAGUAAUACCGUAUACGCCCUAUUGGGGAAAGAUUUAUCGGAGAAGGAUCAGCCCGCGUUGGAUUAGGUAGUUGGUGGGGUAAUGGCCUACCAAGCCGACGAUCCAUAGCUGGUUUGAGAGGAUGAUCAGCCACACA
RNAcentral lists this ribosomal RNA (229 nucleotides) under Paracoccus sp. Le5-1. Its description in RNAcentral is "partial 16S ribosomal RNA". It matches the Rfam family "Bacterial small subunit ribosomal RNA", at positions 57 to 314 of the family's 1533-position model. The record is from RNAcentral. Lineage: Bacteria; Pseudomonadati; Pseudomonadota; Alphaproteobacteria; Rhodobacterales; Paracoccaceae.